This 362-nucleotide ribosomal RNA is filed under the name uncultured microorganism. Its description in RNAcentral is "bacterial SSU rRNA". It matches the Rfam family "Bacterial small subunit ribosomal RNA", at positions 389 to 758 of the family's 1533-position model. The record is from RNAcentral.
AUGCCUGCCGCGUGCGAUUGCAAAUCUUAAGGAUUGAAAACUGCUUUUGUAAGCUUUAUUAAGAGCUACUUGUACCUUGAUGACGGGACCUUAUGAAUAAACAUCGGCUACUCCGUGCCAGCCCCGCGGUAAGCGGUGGAUGCGACCGUUAUCCGGUAUCAUUGGGUUUAAAGGGCUGUAGGCGGGCUUGUUAGUCAGAGGUGACAGCGCUCUGCUCAAUAAAGCAACUGCCUUUAAAACUGUUGGUCUUGAAAGAUUGUCACAGUUGCAAUGUAUUCUGUAGCGUUGAAAUGCUUACAUAUUUACAGAACACCCCACAGCGAACGAAUAUUACUAACAAUUGAAACCGCUGAUGGACGAAA